RNAcentral lists this transfer RNA (609 nucleotides) under uncultured Prochlorococcus sp. Its description in RNAcentral is "partial contains 16S ribosomal RNA, 16S-23S ribosomal RNA intergenic spacer, and 23S ribosomal RNA". The stretch from base 226 to 298 matches the Rfam family "tRNA". The record is from RNAcentral. Lineage: Bacteria; Bacillati; Cyanobacteriota; Cyanophyceae; Synechococcales; Prochlorococcaceae.
UGGAUCACCUCCUAACAGGGAGACAACAAAAUGUUAAAUAUUAAUUUUGUCACCUUAGGUCGAUCGGUACCUCACAUUCUUAACUUUUUAAGAAUUAUUAUUUCCUAAGUUUUUCUAGGUCACACCCAUUAUUUUUCCUGGGCCAUUAGCUCAGGUGGUUAGAGCGCACCCCUGAUAAGGGUGAGGUCCCUGGUUCAAGUCCAGGAUGGCCCAUAUCUCUAUGUUGGGGGUAUAGCUCAGUUGGUAGGGCGCCUGCUUUGCAAGCAGGAUGUCAGCGGUUCGAGUCCGCUUACCUCCACUGAUUACCACCUCUUCCAUAAUUUUUAGAGGGAAAAUUUUGAGUUGUGAUCUACUUCUGAACGAAUCUAGCUUCCUAAUUAAACUUAUUAAGAUGCUGGACUCAUUGAAUUAAUUUCAUUGUUUUCAGAGAACCUUGACAACUGCAUAGAUCAUUUUUAAAGACAAUAAGCAUCUUUAAUGAUGCAGAUUUAUUAUUUGUGCGAAUGCAUUAAUAACAAUUCUAUUAAGCUGAUGCUUCAAUUUUUGAAGUUAUUGGUCAAGCUACAAAGGGCUCACGGAGGAUACCUAGGCACACAGAGGCGAUGAAGG